AACGAACGUUGGCGGCGUGGUUUAGGCAUGCAAGUCGUACGAGUUUCCUCUGGGUACCUGGAUGAAAAAAGUGGCGAAAGGGGCAGUAAGGCAUGGAUAAUCUACCCUGAUGACCGGGAUAGCUGUCCCAACGGGCAGGUAAUACCGGAUGAGCUGGUGGGGCCGCAUGGUUCUGCCAGGAAAGGCGCCAGCCGUGUCGGGGGGAAUCCAUGUGAUAUUGGGUAGGUGGGGAGGUAAAGGCUCACCGAGGGGAAGAUUUCUAGCGGUGGCGAGAGCACGAACCCGGCCAUUGGAGCAGAGACAUGGGCCCGAGUCCUCCGGGGGGCUGAAGUGGAGGAUAUUCGGCAAUGGGGGAAAGCCUGACAGGGCGAAGCCGCGUGAGCGAUGAAGGCGAUUAGGUUGUAAAGCGCUGUCGAGGGGGAACAAGCCGCAAGGUUGAGUGAGCCCGGGAGGAAGCACGGGCUAAGUUCGUG
This 473-nucleotide ribosomal RNA is filed under the name uncultured bacterium. RNAcentral describes it as "partial 16S ribosomal RNA". It matches the Rfam family "Bacterial small subunit ribosomal RNA", at positions 29 to 507 of the family's 1533-position model. The record is from RNAcentral.